RNAcentral lists this ribosomal RNA (515 nucleotides) under uncultured bacterium. RNAcentral's name for it is "bacterial SSU rRNA". It matches the Rfam family "Bacterial small subunit ribosomal RNA", at positions 9 to 566 of the family's 1533-position model. The record is from RNAcentral.
GAGUUUGAUCCUGGCUCAGGAUGAACGCUGGCGGUCUGCUUAACACAUGCAAGUCGAGCGGAAGUCAUCGGACUUUAGCGGCGGACGGGUGAGUAACGCGUGAGAAUCUGCCUUCAGGACGGGGACAACAGUUGGAAACGACUGCUAACACCGGAUGUGCCUACGGGUGAAAUAUUAAUAGCCUGAAGAUGAGCUCGCGUCAGAUUAGCUAGUUGGAGUGGUAACGGCACCCCAAGGCAAUGAUCUGUAGCUGGUCUGAGAGGAUGACCAGCCACACUGGGACUGAGACACGGCCCAGACUCCUACGGGAGGCAGCAGUGGGGAAUUUUCCGCAAUGGGCGCAAGCCUGACGGAGCAAGACCGCGUGGGGGAGGAAGGUUUGUGGACUGUAAACCCCUUUUAUCAGAGAAGAACACAAUGACGGUAUCUGAUGAAUCAGCCUCGGCUAACUCCGUGCCAGCAGCCGCGGUAAUACGGAGGAGGCAAGCGUUAUCCGGAAUUAUUGGGCGUAAAGC